Small nucleolar RNA from Gadus morhua (Atlantic cod), 177 nucleotides. Ensembl annotates it as small nucleolar RNA SNORA23. The record is from Ensembl. NCBI's taxonomy places the organism in Eukaryota, Metazoa, Chordata, Actinopteri, Gadiformes, Gadidae.
GGUUAAUGGUGUGCACAGUGUAGUCUGUGAUAUGUGCUGUUGCUGGACUGUGUUUUACAGCCUCCGCAGCAGUGCUCAUGCCAAACCUACAGCCAUAGAUUAACUGGUGAUCAUAGUACUGGCCCUUGACGUCUUCAUUGACACACCAUUGGUCGGCCUCCAUACUCUCCUACAAUC